Molecule: ribosomal RNA, 490 nt
Filed under: uncultured bacterium
Lineage: Bacteria
Description: partial 16S ribosomal RNA
Rfam family: Bacterial small subunit ribosomal RNA
Source: RNAcentral
GAUGAACGCUAGCGAUAGGCUUAACACAUGCAAGUCGAGGGGCAGCAUGGUCUUAGCUUGCUAAGACUGAUGGCGACCGGCGCACGGGUGCGUAACGCGUAUGCAACUUGCCUCACAGAGGGGGAUAACCCGUCGAAAGACGGACUAAUACCGCGUACACUUGGGAUAGGGCAUCCUGACCCAAGGAAAUGAAAUUCGCUGUGAGAUAGGCAUGCGUCCCAUUAGCUAGUUGGUGAGGUAACGGCUCACCAAGGCGACGAUGGGUAGGGGAACUGAGAGGUUGAACCCCCACACUGGUACUGAGACACGGACCAGACUCCUACGGGAGGCAGCAGUGAGGAAUAUUGAUCAAUGGGCGAGAGCCUGAACCAGCCAAGUCGCGUGAAGGAUGACUGUCUUAUGGAUUGUAAACUUCUUUUAUACGGGAAUAACAAGAGCCACGUGUGGCUCCCUGCAUGUACCGGAUGAAUAAGCAUCGGCUAACUCCGUG